Molecule: ribosomal RNA, 252 nt
Filed under: uncultured bacterium
Lineage: Bacteria
Description: partial 16S ribosomal RNA
Rfam family: Bacterial small subunit ribosomal RNA
Source: RNAcentral
UACGGAGGGGGCAAGCGUUGUUCGGAAUUACUGGGCGUAAAGGGCGCGUAGGCGGCCUUCUAAGUCAGACGUGAAAUCCCCGGGCUCAACCCGGGAACUGCGUCUGAUACUGGAGGGCUUGAAUCCGGGAGAGGGAUGCGGAAUUCCAGGUGUAGCGGUGAAAUGCGUAGAUAUCUGGAGGAACACCGGUGGCGAAGGCAGCCCCCUGGCUGAUACUGACACUGAGGUGCGAAAGCAUGGGGAGCAAACAGG